RNAcentral lists this ribosomal RNA (274 nucleotides) under uncultured bacterium. RNAcentral describes it as "partial 16S ribosomal RNA". It matches the Rfam family "Bacterial small subunit ribosomal RNA", at positions 335 to 600 of the family's 1533-position model. The record is from RNAcentral.
ACUCCUACGGGAGGCAGCAGUGGGGAAUAUUGCACAAUGGGCGCAAGCCUGAUGCAGCCAUGCCGCGUGUAUGAAGAAGGCCUUCGGGUUGUAAAGUACUUUCAGCAGUGAGGAAGGGUGGAUAUGUUAAUAGCAUAUCUUNAUUGAUGAUGCUGCAGAAGAAGCACCGGCUAACUCCGUGCCAGCAGCCGCGGUAAUACGGAGGGUGCGAGCGUUAAUCGGAAUUACUGGGCGUAAAGCGCAUGCAGGUGGUUUGUUAAGUCAGAUGUGAAAG